RNAcentral lists this ribosomal RNA (462 nucleotides) under uncultured bacterium. RNAcentral describes it as "partial 16S ribosomal RNA". It matches the Rfam family "Bacterial small subunit ribosomal RNA", at positions 29 to 523 of the family's 1533-position model. The record is from RNAcentral.
AAUGAACGUUGGCGGCAUGGAUUAGGCAUGCAAGUCGGGGGAAUCCCAGCAAUGGGGGAACCGGCGUAAGGGGCAGUAAGGCAUGGGUACCUACCUUGGGGUUCGGGAUAGCCAUCAGAGAUGGUGGGUAAUACCGGAUGACGUCGUGAUACCAAAGAUUUAUCGCCCUUAGAGGGGCCCAUGUGAUAUUAGCUAGUUGGUGGGGUAACGGCCCACCAAGGCGAAGAUGUCUAGCGGGUGUGAGAGCACGACCCGCGCCACUCGCACUGAGACACUGGCGAGACACCUACGGGUGGCUGCAGUCGAGGAUCUUCGGCAAAGAGCGCAAGCUUGACCGAGCGAUGCCGCGUGAGCGAUGAAGGCCUUCGGGUUGUAAAGCUCUUUAGUGGGGGAGAAAAGCCGCAAGGUGUGAUCUAUCCCAAAAAUAAGCACGGGCUAAGUUCGUGCCAGCCGCCGCGGUAA